Molecule: long non-coding RNA, 1263 nt
Organism: Tupaia belangeri chinensis (Chinese tree shrew)
Lineage: Eukaryota; Metazoa; Chordata; Mammalia; Scandentia; Tupaiidae
Exons: 3
Source: RefSeq, a predicted model, not a curated record
UGUUGUGGGCUUCCCCGUGAGAUCGGCUGGGCUAGUCACACUCUGGCUGUGCAUCUCAAGGACAGCAGGUGCCGAGACCGGUCCUGGAGAGGCAGAGAUGACCAAGACGCCAGGGGACAAACUGAUAAACCGGGACCGUCAGUUCCAUGUGGCAGGGUAGAGGCGGAGGAGGACGCAAUCCAGCGUGACCUCGUCUGAUUACGUCUGCGAAGACCCUUUUGCAAACCAGGGCAUAGUCACAGGUACCAGGUGUUCACAAUUUGCGAAUGCACUUGCACAGCGAUAAAUCCCUGCAUACUCGAAGUCAUGAUCUGCUCAGCAGGUGAAGGCAGAACGCUCAGAGGCCUCUAAUAAUCAGCCCUUUGCAACAAGCACUUUUUCUUCCUGCUCGUUAUUGCAGCGAAGGGAGCAGCUUUCGCUCCUCUCAUUCGGUUACAGCAGACUCGGAAACGCACUGGGGACCGCUGCUCUGUCACCAGCAAAGACAAUGGCAUACAUAAAAAAUGUCUUAUUUCCCCUUGCUCUACCGAGCAAAAGCAUCGGAACCUCCCGGGAAUUCACUUUACAAGGAAAGAAAACGAGGACCGGCGUCUGCAGCGGGCUCGGGCUCGGGCUCGCGCCGCCCAGAGCGUCCCUUCCUCUGGCUCCUGCGCAGCAGGACUGUGCGUACCCCUGCGGGGGCGGACCAGGCAGGGUGCGCACCAGGCAGGGUGCGCACCAGGCAGGGUGCGCUCCAGACUGUGGCCUUCUCACCGACGCUCACAAACGCAGUCGUUCUGCGCGAAGGCCCCUUCCCCUUUCCGCUUGCUAGGCGCCUCCCCCACCCGUGAGUCUGGACUCCCGCCGAGAGUUCUCGAAGACUUCUUUCCUUGUCUCUUAAGGCCCUGCGGUAAGAAGUUCCGCGUCGGGGACCCUCACUAGUGCUUAAGGGACCCACCUUUCCGCGGUCUCCUGCAUUAUGUUCCCUAGGAAAUGUUCAUAUCCUUAUGCUUGAAAAAUCCCUCUUGCAAAAAACAAUAAUAAAAAUCACCAAAUACUGCAGCCGGCAGGGAUUCGGAGAUGGAGAUCUGGGUGUCCGCCCCGGAACUCAGUGCUCAGCCAGCAGGAGGGUCCUGAACACUGCCCAGGAAGCCAGGUGUCAGGAGCCCAGGCCCAGCCCACGGCUGCCAGGUGAGGACCUGUGGGUCCAUUUGGGAGAAAGGCGGGUCUGAACCAGCGGAAGGUUUGAAUUAAAGCGUAAUAAAAUACAGCUGUUUAAAAUGA